UAUCUCUGUAGAGUCUGCAUAUCAAUAAGCGGAGGAAAAGAAACUAACAAGGAUUCCCUUAGUAACGGCGAGUGAAGCGGGAAGAGCUCAAAUUUGAAAUCUUCAAGGAUUUACCUUGACGAAUUGUAGUUUAAAGAAGUGUUUUCUGUUGAAGUUUUGGUAAAAGUUCUUUGGAAUAGGACAUCAUAGAGGGUGAGGAUCCCGUAUUUGACCAUUAUUUUCAGCUGUGUGAUACACUUUCAAAGAGUCGGAUUGUUUGGGAAUGCAGUCCAAAAUGGGUGGUAAAUUUCAUCUAAAGCUAAAUAUUGGCGAGAGACCGAUAGCGAACAAGUACCGUGAGGGAAAGAUGAAAAGAACUUUGAAAAGAGAGUUAAACAGUACGUGAAAUUGUCAAAAGGGAAGCGUUUGACACCAGUGUUGUUUUCUCGAAAAUCAAUUAAAAAAAGUUGGAUUUUGUGUUGUAUUGACCUUAACAGCUUUCUGCACUCUUUUCCUGCUUUUUUUAAUGCACUUUUCGUUUAACAAGUCAACAUCAGUUUCUUUUGUUGUAAAAGGGUCAUUGGAAGGUGGCUUUCUUUUCGGAGAAAGUGUUUAUCAGCCUUUGAUCUCUGCAAUCGGAGAGACUGAGGUCUGCAGCGUAGAUCCUUCGGGGUUAGAUAGCAGUUAGAUGCUAAGUUAUAGCUUUUUCAUAGACAACUUGUUGACUAUAAUUUAAAUCAUGUAGCUUACUCAGCUUAUGGCUAUUUUACCUACGCUUAGGAUGUUGAUCUGUAGUGCGUGCGC
RNAcentral lists this ribosomal RNA (783 nucleotides) under uncultured Neocallimastigales. RNAcentral's name for it is "partial large subunit ribosomal RNA". It matches the Rfam family "Eukaryotic large subunit ribosomal RNA", at positions 24 to 632 of the family's 3401-position model. Lineage: Eukaryota; Fungi; Neocallimastigomycota; Neocallimastigomycetes; Neocallimastigales. The record is from RNAcentral.